UGGGGAAUAUUGCGCAAUGGGGGAAACCCUGACGCAGCAACGCCGCGUGAAGGAAGAAGGUCUUCGGAUCGUAAACUUUUGUCUUCGGGGACGAUAAUGACGGUACCCGAGGAGGAAGCCACGGCUAACUACGUGCCAGCAGCCGCGGUAAUACGUAGGUGGCAAGCGUUGUCCGGAUUUACUGGGUGUAAAGGGUGCGUAGGCGGGCAAAUAAGUCCGAUGUGAAAUACCGCAGCUUAACUGCGGGGCUGCAUUGGAAACUAUUUGUCUUGAGUGCAGGAGAGGUAAGCGGAAUUCCUAGUGUAGCGGUGAAAUGCAUAGAUAUUAGGAGGAACACCAGUGGCGAAGGCGGCUUACUGGACUGCAACUGACGCUGAGGCACGAAAGCGUGGGGAUCAAACA
Molecule: ribosomal RNA, 402 nt
Filed under: uncultured Eubacteriales bacterium
Lineage: Bacteria; Bacillati; Bacillota; Clostridia; Eubacteriales
Description: uncultured Clostridiales bacterium partial 16S ribosomal RNA
Rfam family: Bacterial small subunit ribosomal RNA
Source: RNAcentral